Molecule: ribosomal RNA, 863 nt
Filed under: Enterococcus raffinosus
Lineage: Bacteria; Bacillati; Bacillota; Bacilli; Lactobacillales; Enterococcaceae
Description: bacterial SSU rRNA
Rfam family: Bacterial small subunit ribosomal RNA
Source: RNAcentral
CGCUUUUUCUUUCACCGGAGCUUGCUCCACUCGAAAGAAAAGGAGUGGCGAACGGGUGAGUAACACGUGGGUAACCUGCCCAUCAGAAGGGGAUAACACUUGGAAACAGGUGCUAAUACCGUAUAACAAUCGAAACCGCAUGGUUUCGGUUUGAAAGGCGCUUUUGCGUCACUGAUGGAUGGACCCGCGGUGCAUUAGCUAGUUGGUGAGGUAACGGCUCACCAAGGCAACGAUGCAUAGCCGACCUGAGAGGGUGAUCGGCCACAUUGGGACUGAGACACGGCCCAAACUCCUACGGGAGGCAGCAGUAGGGAAUCUUCGGCAAUGGACGAAAGUCUGACCGAGCAACGCCGCGUGAGUGAAGAAGGUUUUCGGAUCGUAAAACUCUGUUGUUAGAGAAGAACAAGGAUGAGAGUAAAAUGUUCAUCCCUUGACGGUAUCUAACCAGAAAGCCACGGCUAACUACGUGCCAGCAGCCGCGGUAAUACGUAGGUGGCAAGCGUUGUCCGGAUUUAUUGGGCGUAAAGCGAGCGCAGGCGGUUUCUUAAGUCUGAUGUGAAAGCCCCCGGCUCAACCGGGGAGGGUCAUUGGAAACUGGGAAACUUGAGUGCAGAAGAGGAGAGUGGAAUUCCAUGUGUAGCGGUGAAAUGCGUAGAUAUAUGGAGGAACACCAGUGGCGAAGGCGGCUCUCUGGUCUGUAACUGACGCUGAGGCUCGAAAGCGUGGGGAGCAAACAGGAUUAGAUACCCUGGUAGUCCACGCCGUAAACGAUGAGUGCUAAGUGUUGGAGGGUUUCCGCCCUUCAGUGCUGCAGCUAACGCAUUAAGCACUCCGCCUGGGGAGUACGACCGCAAGGUUGAAAC